ACAUUACAAGCCAGACACAACUGUCCUGUGAUAAAGAAGAAUGAUGUCCGUGCCACAUCUAGACUACUUCUAAUAUGGACUAGAAUUCCCCCUGCACCAAUAUUUCAUAAGCAUAUAUUAAAAGUAUGCUGUGAUGGGGUAUCCAUCCUUUUAAAAAAAUCUAUGCCCUUUUCAGAUUUUGAGGGGCCCUUGGGCUGAGUGCUCAAGCCUAUAUUUUUUAACCUCUCUUUCCUCCUCACUGUUUCUGCUGCUCAUUUUAUGCGCCUCUCCUGUGUCAUAUAUGCACCAGCUCUGAGAGGAGGCGAGAGGAGUCAAGUUUGUGGAAGGUACUGGUCCACCUUGCUCAUUUUGCCCCUUGCUCUCGUGGAGAGGGCAGGUGAUCAGGAAGAAACAGGUAGGAGGAGAAGGAGGAGUUCAAGGAAGCUCUGAGGAUUAGCAAUGGACCCCUAACGGGUGUGGGUCUCAGCAGGAGCCCUGCAGUGCCAAAGCUUGCUAUGAGUCCUUCCUGUUGCUGUUCAAAUUGCUAUGAUUGUGACUUAGGGAUGGAUGAAUCUGUCUUUUUCAGUUGCAGCUUCUCAUUAUCCCAGUCAUACCUUCAGUUCUCCACAUGUCUGCAGAGGUUUGCGAAACACUGGUCCUUGCUAAAAUUCAUCUGUAUUUUAGUGUGCAUGUCACCUAACAAUACAUGCACAUUUUUUGCAAGCCAUUUCCCCUGGUAUGAUGCAUUUUUAUAUGUUAUUUUCACCAAUGUAUGCAUUUCACUCCACACUUUCCAAUAAUGUAUGCAUUUUUGUACACAUUUUUGGGCUUGUGGUUUUUGCAGGUGGGGGAAUUAGAGAUGUGUGAACUUGAAAGUUAACCGUGUUUUUGUUUGUAUCAUAUUUCAGGAACUGGGAAUAAGGUGGGUUUCCAUUGAAUUAUUAUUUUUAUUGCUCUUAUUUUUUUUUUACAAAAAUAAUAUUUAUUACUUUUCCAAAAAAUUUAAACACUAAAAAAAAACCCAAUACAAUACAAUACAUUAAACUAUUGCUCUUAUUUGUCAAAUUGGUAUACUGCCCUUCAUCCAAAGAUCACAGGGCGGUUCACAACAUGAAAAUACAAAAUGAGAACACAAAAUAUAUCAUACAACAAAAACAAACCAAUAGCUCCCUUCCACAAAUACAUUUAUCAGACCAUAGAGUGUUUAAUCAGUCAGAGGCCUGGGUUAUAGAGAAACAUUUUCUCCUGGCAUCUGAAGAUAUGUCAUGAAGGUGGGGAGCCACCACAAAAAAGGCCUAUUCCUGUGUUGCCACUCUCCGGGGCCCUCAUGAAGCGAGCACACAAAGAAGGAUCACACAAAGAAGGAUCUCAGACAAUCACAGGGUCUGGCUUGGUUCAUAUGGGAAGUUAUUUUGGUCCUGAGCUAUUUAAGGCUUUAGAGGUCAAAACCAGCACUUUGAACUGAUCCCAGAAAUUCAUUGGCAGCCAGUGCAGUCGGGCCAGGAUCGGUGUAAAAUGCUCAAACUGUCUUGCCCCAGUGAGCAGCCUGCACCAGCCAAAGUUUCCAUCCCGUCUUCAGAGGCAGCCCCUAGUAUAACGCAAACUGAAACAGAUUUCUCCUUCAUCUCCCUUUUGUCUACAGCCACGUUGACAUGUAUUUAAAAUGGUUUCAUUGCCACUUCAAACAGUCGAGGAUCCUGCCAAACAAUUAUGGGAAGUGUUGUUUGUUAAAGAGCGCUCAAAGUUAUUAGGAGACCCCUUUUCUCCUCACAGAGCUCCAAUUCCCAUUGUUCCCUGUGAAGAGGGAUUGGUUGUUAAACCACUCUGGGAAUUGUAGUUCUGGGAGGGGAAUAUGGGCUUCCAAACAACUCUCAGCACCCUUAACAAACUACAGCUCCCAGAAUUCUUUGGGGGAAGCCAUGCCUGUUUAAAGUAGUAUCGUAGAGCUUUAAAUGUAUGGUGUGGAUGUGGAUGUGGCCUAUAUCAGCGUGCUACAAGAAAAGUAAAUAAUUUACAUUAGCGAUCCUGGAAAUGUAAGACUUUGUAUCAAUCCCAUGAAGCAUUAAGGGGGUACAGAGAACCCCAAGUCUCACCAGCCAUGCACACACACAUACACCCAGUCUAAUGUGACAAUGGGCUUGUUCCCAUGUUACGCUGAACACAGGUACCGGCUGCCCCUACACUUGUACAAGUGUUUGUGUGAAAGAGUGUGCACGUGUUUAUUUGUACAGCUCAGCUACUGGUGUGCACAGGUGCACAGGCUGUUCACGUAUUCAGAGGUGUAACGUGGCGGGGGGGCAGCAGGGGCCACCACCCCGGGUGCACAUUCAGGAGGGCACAACUGAGCCGCAACAGUCCUGAAGAUGACUGGCAGGGAGGUGGCUCCCUUUUCUGGCCCGGUAAUGUGCAGUGUGCAUGUUGCCUGAGCAGCCGGACAGGCUUCGAGUGGAGAGCGGGCAGCCGGGCAGGCCUUCCCCUGCAGGGGCAAAGCCCCCUCUCGCUGCCCAUCCCUUUCAGCGCCUAGGGAUGGCAUGACACACUUUUCUUGCACCAUGGCUCCUGCCGCUGCUGGUCACGCUGGGUUGCUGCUGCGCCAGGCAGCCCCCUCAGCUCCCUCCUGCCCCGGGGCCACCGCAGAGCCCCCAGACAAGGCCCCCGUACAGGAGCAGGCAGCUGUAGGCACAGUAGGGUGCCGCUGGAGCGCCCAGUGUGGACAUAGAAGCAGCCACGCAAGCUUUGGCCGGAAGCAUGCUGGCUCCUGGGCCAGACCUGCGGAGGUUCCUGUGGGCAUGCUAUGGGUAAACUGCGGCACAACACCCUUUUGCACCUUGCCCCGGGCACUAGCAAGCAACGCUACGCCACUGCAUUCAUUGAUUGUUACAUGUGAAUAACCGUAUGAGUGUACGGCCCAACUAUUUCUGUACACAGGUGCCCAGACGGCAAACCCACUGAAUGUGAUAUGUGAACACCCCCUAAUGACUGAUGCCUUUGCACCAAUGCCGUGUUUGAAACUGAUAGUCCGCAUUGCCAGCAUGUUGCCUCCCUGGCGCAUCCCAGGCUCACCUGGGUGAAGCCAGAUUUCAGGCUGUACAUAUUAAUAUUAUCACUGUCUUUUCUCCCCCCCCCUUCCAUUGAGCUCUUGGUGGUUAUUUAUUUAUUUAUUUAUUUUUACAUGUUAUUUCUGGUGACCAAUGUAGACUUGAUUUUAUGUUUUUAUGUAUAAAUAAAUUUGU
Molecule: non-coding RNA, 3212 nt
Organism: Podarcis lilfordi (Lilford's wall lizard)
Lineage: Eukaryota; Metazoa; Chordata; Lepidosauria; Squamata; Lacertidae
Source: the annotation of a GenBank genome assembly